UAGGAAGUGGUGUAGUGGAAGCACUAAGAGUUUUGAUCUCUUGGGUAUAGGUUCGAGUCCUAUUUUUCUAG
RNAcentral lists this transfer RNA (71 nucleotides) under Neoceratodus forsteri (Australian lungfish). RNAcentral describes it as "tRNA-Gln". It matches the Rfam family "tRNA". From Rfam's summary of the family: Transfer RNA (tRNA) molecules are approximately 80 nucleotides in length. The record is from RNAcentral. Lineage: Eukaryota; Metazoa; Chordata; Ceratodontiformes; Ceratodontidae.